GACCCAUUGAAAUAUUCUAGUCCUUCCUCAUUUGGGAAAUGAAAGUACAACAUUCAAUUGGUAAACGACUUUCUCCUGUCUGCAGUAUUUUUGUUUGAUGAUGAAGGUCUGAAGUUUGAUUGCUAUGUUUCUUGGCCAUCUAUUAAGGGUAACGUCGUUGAACUUAAGGGGUGAAUUUUGUGGACUAAAAAUAGAAGCCAUAUUUUCAUUUUUAAGGUAAGUAUUUUUAUGGAUGAGACGUGAAAAUCUUCAGUAUAUGAUUAUAGAAAACUGAGUUAGGAGAUCAUUU
RNAcentral lists this long non-coding RNA (289 nucleotides) under Vombatus ursinus (common wombat). Its description in RNAcentral is "lncRNA (ENSVURG00010017271.1)". Lineage: Eukaryota; Metazoa; Chordata; Mammalia; Diprotodontia; Vombatidae. The record is from RNAcentral.